GAUGAACGCUGGCGGCGUGCCUAAUACAUGCAAGUCGAGCGAACGGACGAGAAGCUUGCUUCUCUGAUGUUGGCGGCGGACGGGUGAGUAACACGUGGAUAACCUACCUAUAAGACUGGGAUAACUUCGGGAAACCGGAGCUAAUACCGGAUGAUAUUUUGAACCGCAUGGUUCAAAAGUGAAAGACGGUCUUGCUGUCACUUAUAGAUGGAUCCGCGCUGCAUUAGCUAGUUGGUAAGGUAACGGCUUACCAAGGCAACGAUGCAUAGCCGACCUGAGAGGGUGAUCGGCCACACUGGAACUGAGACACGGUCCAGACUCCUACGGGAGGCAGCAGUAGGGAAUCUUCCGCAAUGGGCGAGAGCCUGACGGAGCAACGCCGCGUGAGUGAUGAAGGUCUUCGGAUCGUAAAACUCUGUUAUUAGGGAAGAACAUAUGUGUAAGUAACUGUGCACAUCUUGACGGUACCUAAUCAGAAAGCCACGGCUAACUACGUG
RNAcentral lists this ribosomal RNA (497 nucleotides) under uncultured bacterium. Its description in RNAcentral is "partial 16S ribosomal RNA". It matches the Rfam family "Bacterial small subunit ribosomal RNA", at positions 28 to 507 of the family's 1533-position model. The record is from RNAcentral.